CCUACGGGAGGCAGCAGUGAGGAAUAUUGGACAAUGGGCGCAAGCCUGAUCCAGCCAUGCCGCGUGCAGGAUGACGGUCCUAUGGAUUGUAAACUGCUUUUGUACAGGAAGAAACCCUUUCACGUGUGGAAGAUUGACGGUACUGUAAGAAUAAGGAUCGGCUAACUCCGUGCCAGCAGCCGCGGUAAUACGGAGGAUCCAAGCGUUAUCCGGAAUCAUUGGGUUUAAAGGGUCCGUAGGCGGUUUAGUAAGUCAGUGGUGAAAGCCCAUCGCUCAACGGUGGAACGGCCAUUGAUACUGCUAGACUUGAAUUAUUAGGAAGUAACUAGAAUAUGUAGUGUAGCGGUGAAAUGCUUAGAGAUUACAUGGAAUACCAAUUGCGAAGGCAGGUUACUACUAAUGGAUUGACGCUGAUGGACGAAAGCGUGGGUAGCGAACAGGAUUAGAUACCCUGGUAGUCCACGCCGUAAACGAUGGAUACUAGCUGUUGGGCGCAAGUUCAGUGGNGUAGAGAAGUAGAGUAAGUAAUCCGACCGUCGGGGUAGGUAACGGUUCGUCGAAGAAAGUAGAAACGUUAACGAAAGGAAAGUUAGGUUACGGCGUUGGAGACGUUGCCGACGGACGACCGACGAGGGGAGGUUAGG
Molecule: ribosomal RNA, 644 nt
Filed under: uncultured bacterium
Lineage: Bacteria
Description: bacterial SSU rRNA
Rfam family: Bacterial small subunit ribosomal RNA (bases 1-535)
Source: RNAcentral